AUAUGACAUGAUUUUCCAUAGAGGUAUAUAAUGUGAAAUGGUUAAAUCAAGCUGAUUACCGUAUCUAUUAGAUCACUAUCAUACUUAUCAUAAUUUAUAAGUAUCAUAGUUAUCAUUAGUAAAAGUACCAUAUACUAAAUAUUUCAUGGUGAGAACAUUUAAAAUCUACUCUUUGGGCAACUCUGAAUUGUAGGAUACCUUAUUUUUAACAAUGCAAUAGAUCUCAAAAUCAUAAUCCUCUGUCUAAUGGAAUGAAACUUCUCUCCCUUCGACCAAUCUGCCCAUUCCCCUGUUUCACACGUGGUAACCCACCAUUCUACUCUCUGCUCCUAUAAUUUCUAUUUUUUAGAUUCUACAUAUUACUGAGAUCAUGUAGACUUUGUCUGUCUGUGCAUGGCUUAUUUCAAUUAGCAUAAGGUCCUCCAGUUCCGAACAUUCAGUUGCAAAUGACAGAAUUCACUUCUUCUUAAAGACGGAAUGUUAUUCCUUUGUGUAUACAUACCACAUUUUCUGGUCCCUCUACCAGUUGAAGGGUGGAUUCCAUAUCCUGGUCCUUGUGAAAGAUGCUGCCAUGGACAUGGGAAGGUACCUCUGUCUCCAGAAAUGGUCUCAUUCUCAUCUUUGAUUGCAACUAUUUACCACACUGACCAACCAGCAUAUCGAUCAAAUCUUCAUACUGCUAUUACUUUACAUUAGAUGCCUUUUUAUUAAUCUCUCCCUCUUUAUUAUACACCAUAAUCAAUGUAAAGAAUAUUUUCUGGACAAGGAAAGAUUCAUGACUAAAGGAAUGAAUCUUUGUAGCAUACUCACAAUUUCUAUUUUCUUUUUGGGAAAAAAGAAAAAUGAAAGAAAUUAAUUCAAUUAGUAAAUACAAACGUUGCUAUAGUUCAGGGACAACUCUAAAUAGAACCAUCAUACUUAAUUAAAUAUUUGGAUUGGUUUAAAAGAGUAUUCUCCUUUAUAACCACUGAGAGCUACUUUAUAACAAUUGAGAGUAACCCAGUCUCCCUUCCACUAUUUGCAUUGAUCAGGAACAAGGAACAGUUAGAUGAAACUUAGCUAGAAAAUAAUAUAUGUUUCUUUUAUUCUAUCCACACCUUUUAC
RNAcentral lists this long non-coding RNA (1104 nucleotides) under Marmota monax (woodchuck). The record is from RNAcentral. Lineage: Eukaryota; Metazoa; Chordata; Mammalia; Rodentia; Sciuridae.